This 408-nucleotide ribosomal RNA is filed under the name uncultured Methylomirabilota bacterium. Its description in RNAcentral is "bacterial SSU rRNA". It matches the Rfam family "Bacterial small subunit ribosomal RNA", at positions 1027 to 1434 of the family's 1533-position model. The record is from RNAcentral. Lineage: Bacteria; Methylomirabilota (SeqCode).
CGUGGAGACAGGUGGUGCAUGGCUGUCGUCAGCUCGUGUCGUGAGAUGUUGGGUUAAGUCCCGCAACGAGCGCAACCCUCACCCCUUGUUGCCAUCAGGUCACGCUGGGCACUCUAGAGGAACUGCCCCGGUCAACGGGGAGGGAGGCGGGGAUGACGUCAAGUCAUCAUGCCCCUUACGUCCUGGGCUACACACGUGCUACAAUGGCCGGUACAAAGGGAUGCCACACCGCGAGGUAGAGCUAAACCCGAAAAGCCGGUCUAAGUUCAGAUUGGAGUCUGCAACUCGACUCCAUGAAGGAGGAAUCGCUAGUAAUCGCGUAUCAGCACGACGCGGUGAAUACGUUCCCGGGCCUUGUAUACACCGCCCGUCACACCACGAAAGCCUGCUGUACUCGAAGUCGCUGAG